Molecule: ribosomal RNA, 451 nt
Filed under: uncultured bacterium
Lineage: Bacteria
Description: partial 16S ribosomal RNA
Rfam family: Bacterial small subunit ribosomal RNA
Source: RNAcentral
AGCGAACGCUGGCGGCAUGCCUAACACAUGCAAGUCGCACGGGGGGGCUUCGGCCUCCCAGUGGCGGACGGGUGAGGAACGCGUAGGGACCUGUCGAGGGGCGGGGGAUAACCGCGGGAAACUUCGGCUAAUACCGCAUGACGCCGCGGCGUGACAGCCGGGGCCAAAGGCGAGAGCCGCCCGCCGCGGGGCCUGCGUCCGAUUAGCUGGGUGGCGGGGUAGCGGCACACCAAGGCGUGGAUCGGGAGCUGGUCUGGGAGGGUGAUCAGCCACACCGGGACUGAGACACGGCCCGGACUGCGACGGGAGGCAGCAGUGGGGAGUAUUGGACACGGGGCGCAAGCCUGAUACAGCAAUGCCGCGUGGGUGAAGAAGGUCUUCGGAUUGUAAAGCCCUUUCGGCGGGGACGAUGGUGACGGUACCCGCAGAAGAAGCCCCGGCUAACUUCGUG